UGCAUGUCUAAGUACAUGCCGUAUUAAGGCGAAACCGCGAAUGGCUCAUUAAAUCAGUUAUGGUUCCUUGGAUCGUACCUUUCUACUUGGAUAACUGUGGCAAUUCUAGAGCUAAUACAUGCAGCACAGCUCCGACCUUCGGGGACGAGCGCUUUUAUUAGACCAAAACCAAUCGGACCUCGUGUCCGGNUCUUGGGGUGACUCUGUAUAACUUUGGGCUGAACGCACGGGCCUGUGCCCGCGACCGGAACCUUCAAGGGCUGCCUUACCAACUUUCGAAGGGAGGUUACCCGCCCACCAUGGGCGUAACGGGUAACGGGGAAUUAGGGGUUGAAUUCCGAGAAGGAGGCUUAGAAACGGGUUCCACAUCCAAGGAAGGCUGCAAGGCGCAAAUUACCACUUCCAAACCGGGAGGUUGUGCGAAAAAUACCAUACGGGAGUCUUUUGAGACCCGUAAUUGGAAUGAGACACUCUUAAUCCUUUAACGAGGAUCCAUUGGAGGGCAAGUCUAAGUGCCAGCAACGCGGUAAUUCUAGCUCCAAUAGCGUAUAUUAAAGUUGUUGCGGAUAAAAAGCUCGUAGUUGGAUCUCAGUUCCAGACGGGUGGUCCGCCUACCGGUGGUUACUGCCUGUUAUGAACAGCCACCCGGUUUCUCUUGAUGAUCUUCACCGGUUGUCUUGGGUGACCGGCAAGUUUACUUUGAAAAAAUUAGAGUGCUCAAAGCAGGCGUGACGCCUAAAUAAUGGUGCAUGGAAUAAUGGAAUAGGACCUCGGUUCUAUUUUGUUGGUUUUCGGAACACGAGGUAAUGAUUAAGAGGGACUGACGGGGGCAUUCGUAUUGCGACGCUAGAGGUGAAA
This 858-nucleotide ribosomal RNA is filed under the name Cicurina sp. 1 JCS-2006. RNAcentral's name for it is "SSU rRNA". It matches the Rfam family "Eukaryotic small subunit ribosomal RNA", at positions 52 to 916 of the family's 1831-position model. The record is from RNAcentral. Lineage: Eukaryota; Metazoa; Arthropoda; Arachnida; Araneae; Dictynidae.